RNAcentral lists this ribosomal RNA (253 nucleotides) under uncultured bacterium. RNAcentral's name for it is "partial 16S ribosomal RNA". It matches the Rfam family "Bacterial small subunit ribosomal RNA", at positions 524 to 776 of the family's 1533-position model. The record is from RNAcentral.
UACAGAGGGGGCAAGCGUUAUUCGGAAUUAUUGGGCGUAAAGGGCGCGUAGGCGGCUAUUCAAGUGGCGGGUGAAAUCCCUCGGCUUAACCGAGGAACUGCCUGCCAGACUGGAUGGCUUGAAUCCGGGAGAGGGAUGUGGAAUUCCAGGUGUAGCGGUGAAAUGCGUAGAUAUCUGGAGGAACAUCGGUGGCGAAGGCGGCAUCCUGGACCGGUAUUGACGCUGAGGCGCGAAAGCCAGGGGAGCAAACGGG